This is a long non-coding RNA of Thalassophryne amazonica, 189 nucleotides long. RefSeq lists it as uncharacterized. NCBI's taxonomy places the organism in Eukaryota, Metazoa, Chordata, Actinopteri, Batrachoidiformes, Batrachoididae. The transcript has 2 exons. The record is from RefSeq and is a predicted model, not a curated record.
GCGUGAGGCGGGGUACACCCAGGACAGGACGCCAGUCUGUCGCAGAACACUUCAGAAAACCAUUAUCAUUUAACAGUUUGUCACUACAUCUAUAAGUGCAAGUUAAAAGUCUACCAUGUAAAGCGGAAGCCAUACACCAACAACCUCCAGAAAUACUGCCGCCUUCUCUCUACCCGAGCUCAUUUGAAA